GCCCGGAUGGUGAAAUUGGUAGACACACAGGACUUAAAAUCCUGCGCCUUUAACGGGCGUGCCGGUUCGAUUCCGGCUCCGGGCACCA
Molecule: transfer RNA, 88 nt
Filed under: Gammaproteobacteria bacterium
Lineage: Bacteria; Pseudomonadati; Pseudomonadota; Gammaproteobacteria
Also listed under: 12 other names
Description: tRNA-Leu
Rfam family: tRNA
About the family: Transfer RNA (tRNA) molecules are approximately 80 nucleotides in length. Their secondary structure includes four short double-helical elements and three loops (D, anti-codon, and T loops).
Source: RNAcentral